RNAcentral lists this ribosomal RNA (472 nucleotides) under uncultured bacterium. RNAcentral describes it as "bacterial SSU rRNA". It matches the Rfam family "Bacterial small subunit ribosomal RNA", at positions 331 to 793 of the family's 1533-position model. The record is from RNAcentral.
CAGUACUCCUACGGGGAGGCAGCAGUGGGGAAUAUUGCACAAUGGGGGAAACCCUGAUGCAGCCAUGCCGCGUGUGUGAAGAAGGCCUUCGGGUUGUAAAGCACUUUCAGUAGGGAGGAAGGUAGUGUAGUUAACACCUGCAUUAUUUGACGUUACCUACAGAAGAAGCACCGGCUAACUCCGUGCCAGCAGCCGCGGUAAUACGGAGGGUGCGAGCGUUAAUCGGAAUUACUGGGCGUAAAGCGCAUGCAGGCGGCCUGUUAAGUCAGAUGUGAAAGCCCGGGGCUUAACCUCGGAAUUGCAUUUGAAACUGGCAGGCUAGAGUCUUGUAGAGGGGGGUAGGAAUUUCAGGUGUAGCGGUGAAAUGCGUAGAGAUCUGAAGGAAUACCAGUGGCGAAGGCGGCCCCCUGGACAAAGACUGACGCUCAGAUGCGAAAGCGUGGGGAGCAAACAGGAUUAGAUACCCUGGUAG